GAAGUGGGGCCUUAAGAGCUUGGCAGACCUCCUCCUAGGCAAGCAACCCAGGAACUGAACUGAAGGUUGGCAUGACUGGAAAGGUUGGCAUGACUGGAAGAGACUCUGGAGGGUGGAGGGCCAGACUGGGCCUUGGCAGAGGUGCUAAAUAGGCUGUCUCCCAGGUGGGUCCACCUCAGGGAUGGGACUCAGUACUGACCUCCCUGGGCAGGUGCAGGCCUCUGCUCAUUGGCCUCUAGCUGAAUGCAGAGGCCUGGCCUGACCCCAUGCUAAGCAGCCUCGUAUCAAACCUAGUGCCCAGGAAAGGCCAGUAGCCAGGCAUGGGUAGGAAACCAGUUACUCUCCAGCUGCCAUUGUUUCUGGGACCCAGGCUGGAGGGAGUCUUUCUACCCAAGAUUAAACAGUAGGCUGGCGGACUAGGGAGGCCCUACAGCCCUAAGCCGGCAUUGUGCUCCACCUCUAGUAUAGGUCUGACUAGGUUGUCAGCACCAGGGGCAGGGACCGUCUGGCUCCCUGGAGCCGAGCUGGUGGGUGGAGCCCAUGGAAGCCUCCUGGCACUGUGCUGUUUAACUCUCCCAAGCCCCAGGCUUAGAUUGCUGUUCCUGGAGGCUGCUGACACAGUCUGUGGAGGAUAGAAGGUGUGCAGCCUGGGACUCGGUGUGCCACCUGCCACCAGAGCCUCUGGAACCUCUUUGCGGGAGAUGUAGAGUGUCAGAUUACAAAGGAAACUAAGCCAGAGUCUGUACACAUCCCAGGGAGCCUGCAGUGUGGAGACUGGAAGGGUCUGGUUGGCCUGAGAGACAGGCAGGGUUGAUGGCCCUGCUGGGUUCCUGAGACAGGGACUAAAGUUGCAGUCGCAGGCUGGGAUUAUUCCUUACCUUUGAAGCAACUGAACUUGUGCAUCCCAUAGGAGAGACUGAGGCGUAAAGCUCACUGCUCUGUGUAGCUGUGUCAGGAUGGGCUGAUUGGCAGGUAUAAGAGAACAUUGUGCUCUGGACCCCGAGCGACAAAAGUGUGAGUCAGAACUAUGACUUAUGGCAGCCCCAACACUAAUCAGCCCAGGCCUUUCAAUGCCUGCAUUGUAUCUAAGCCAGUGCCUUCUUAGGUCUCCCAAACCCUAGUGCCCUGAAGACAAAGGCUAGGCAGAGAGAGCCACUGUCUUCUGGACUGAGCAUUUGUUCUGUGGGCUGCCAGACUAACUCUAGGGUUAUAGGAUUAUGUGUUGGGGUAUGGAGAGGAGCCCCAGUGUUUAGGAGAAAUGUCUACCCAGCAUCCUUUGCUUCUCCAGAGCCGAUGAGAGAACAGAGCUCUGUCCUCAGUAGCAAUUUGGAUGGAAGGUUCUGGCUCACUCUGAGCCAUGCAAAGGUCAAAGGCCAGCCUUGGAGAACUAUACAGUCCUUUCUUGGAGAGCUGACCGGACGCUUAGGGUCGGUUUAUCCUUUAAGCAUAAGGCCUAGGAGCAAGACUGGGGAGUGGGUGGGGCAGGAUGGUUCCCAUAAGAUGUGGGACUGUCUGCUUCCUGAUUCCGAGAAUUGGCAGUAGGAAACCAGGGCUUGUCCAGGACAAUGGCUGGAGCUAUGCCUGCCCAGCUCUGUGGAGGGUGGGGUUUCUAUACAGAGCUGCUGCUGUAGGGGUUGGAGGUCAGUCAAGUGGGCUGUGAUAGGCCGCGCCUCUGCUUCUUCCUCAGAUGCUCCCACCUGCCCUGGAAGCCUGGAUUGUGCACUGAAGAGGCGGGCAAAGUGCCCACCAGGGGCACAUGCCUGCGGACCAUGCCUUCAGUCCUUCCAGGAGGACCAGAGAGGGGUCUGUGUGCCGAGGAAGCACCAAUCUUCUGGGGAGGGCCUGCCCCAGCCCAGACUGGAAGAGGAGAUCGAUUCUCUGGCCCGGGAGCUGGCACUGAAGGAGAAGGAGGCUGGGCACCCAAGGCUCACAGCACAGCCCUUGCCUGAGGCUUCCCAGAAGCUCCUGGAACCUGCAGCUACCCUGGGAUUCUCACAGUGGGGUCAACAACUGGAGCCUGGCCUCCCCUCUACUCACGG
RNAcentral lists this long non-coding RNA (2039 nucleotides) under Rattus norvegicus (Norway rat). RNAcentral's name for it is "long non-coding RNA NONRATT017882". The record is from RNAcentral. Lineage: Eukaryota; Metazoa; Chordata; Mammalia; Rodentia; Muridae.